GUCUACAUCCAUUCUACUUUGAACAAGCCCAGUCCCAUCUGAUCUCAGAAGCUAAGCAAGGUCGGGCCUGAUUAGUACUUGGAUGGGAGACCACCUAGGAAGACCAGGUGCUGUAGGCG
This 119-nucleotide ribosomal RNA is filed under the name Pteropus alecto (black flying fox). Lineage: Eukaryota; Metazoa; Chordata; Mammalia; Chiroptera; Pteropodidae. The record is from RNAcentral.